CAUAAAAAAACGAAAUGACUAUUUGCUACCGAGUGCAAAUAAUCAACAUGAACACUAUCUGUACCCGAGUGCAAAUAGUGAAUUCAUCUUUCUACAAACUGUGUAAGGAAGGAGUUUGGUUUGUUCCAACUGAAUUCAUCCUUCUACAAACUGUGUAAGGAAGGAGUUUGGUGUGUUCCAACUGAAUUCAUCCUUCUACAAACUGUCUAAGGAAGGAGUUUGGUUUGUUCCAACUGAAUUCAUUGUUCUACAAACUGUGUAACGAAGGAGUUUGGUUUGUUCCAACUGAAUUCAUCCAUCUACAAACUGUGUAGGGAAGGAGGUUGGUCUGUUCCUACUGAAUUCAUCUCAAAAAUCUCAAAGCGUCAGAAGUAGAAAAUAUUGAUUAUUUUUGUUCAGAUUCUUGUUACGACUCAAAGCAAUUCCCUGAAAUUAUUUUCUUGAUAAAUCUAACGAA
Molecule: long non-coding RNA, 457 nt
Organism: Bradysia coprophila
Lineage: Eukaryota; Metazoa; Arthropoda; Insecta; Diptera; Sciaridae
Source: RefSeq, a predicted model, not a curated record